Cyprinus carpio (common carp) is the source of this 881-nucleotide long non-coding RNA. NCBI's taxonomy places the organism in Eukaryota, Metazoa, Chordata, Actinopteri, Cypriniformes, Cyprinidae. The record is from Ensembl.
GAACUGAUCGAGAAUUGGAAGUCCAUACUUUAUCACAUUACAGGUGUGCACAGUUGGUUUAAAGAAGGAAAGCAGAAAAAAUGCGUACACAAUGUUGCUGUUCUCAGUCCAGAACAGCAACGCAGAAAAAAAUGGCUUGGAAAAGACUCGCGUGCCUUCCACACACUGCAGAGUCUUGUUCUGGACAAAGGACUUCAAAAGGAUUUGAGGCAAAUGGCUCUUUUCAAACACACUGGACAACUGGAGGUGUUUAAUUCUGUCCUACUGAAAUACUGCCCAAAGAACCUGCAUUUUCAUUAUGCGUCCAUGGUUGCACGAACACAACUCGCUAUCCUUGACCAUAAUGAAAAUGUAGGUCGUCAGCAAGCAACAACCACUACUGGUGCAUCUCGGUACAAAGUGGUUUUCCCCAAACAUACCAAAGAAUGGGUAGCCAAAGCGAUUUUUACACAAACCACUCAAAAAUUCAGAGAGUCUCUGGUUGAGAAAGUUGUACAGCGGCGGCUGGACACCAGCGUUGUUUACAAGGAAAGUUCUUGUCGUUUGACUCAUCAUCACCCAUUGCCACAGAACAUAGCCCCAACACCAAGGCCUGACAAGCAAGAAGUAAUUGCAAAGCGUUUAUCACGAUUUGGACACUAAUUUGCUUUAAAAAUGUUGAAGUCUUUUAUAGUUUUUUUUUAUAUAGUUUUUCUGAUUUUUUUCUUAUUGAGGUAAAAACAGAAAACACUGUUGGUGAAACAAACAAAAUAUUUAUGGUGUUAGUGUGAAAUAUAUGGUCCUUACUGAUGGUACCCCACAUCAGUUGGAAUUAAACAUAAACGAAUGUAUUUCUCAAAUUUGUUUUAUUCUUCCAAAAUAAACAUUUGUGUGAGACAUCA